AAGUUGGCCAGCCCCACCCCCCAAGGCUAUAGCCCACCCGUUUUUGUGGCCUUUUUCAGCUGGACGAACUUGGCGCCCCGGCCUUCGGGUGGUUAUUUUUGCGCACGCCUGUGUCCGCGGCCUAUUUUUGGUACACGGAGGCCGCUCGUAAAGUCUCGCGCCAUUCCGAGUCCGGCGGACGAAGUUGGCCAGCCCCACCCCCCAAGCCUAGAGCCCACCCGUUUUUGUGGCCUUUUUCCGCUGGACGAACUUGGCGCCCUGGCCUUCGGGCGGUUAUUUUUAAGCGCGGCUGUGCCCGCGGCCUAUUUUUGGCACACGAAGGCCGUUCGCAAAGUCUCGCACCAUUCCGAGUCCGGCGGACGAAGUGCGCAAGCCCCACCCCCCAAGGCUAUAGCCCACCCGUUUUUGUGGCCUUUUUCCGCUGGACGAACUUGCACCCCAGCCUUCGGGAGGUUAUUUUUGGGUACGGCUGUGCCCGCGGCCUAUUUUUGGCACACGGAGUCCCCUCGCAAAGUCUCGCGCCAUUCCGAGUCCGGCGGACGAAGUUGGCCAG
RNAcentral lists this long non-coding RNA (553 nucleotides) under Citrus x clementina. RNAcentral describes it as "Citrus clementina (C. clementina) long non-coding RNA (CCLE_LNC003769)". The record is from RNAcentral. Lineage: Eukaryota; Viridiplantae; Streptophyta; Magnoliopsida; Sapindales; Rutaceae.